UACGUAGGGAGCAAGCGUUGUUCGGAGUUACUGGGCGUAAAGGGUGUGUAGGCGGUCCUCUAAGUUUGGUGUGAAAUCUCCCGGCUCAACUGGGAGGGUGCGCCGAAAACUGGAGGGCUAGAGUACUGGAUGGGAGAGUGGAAUUCCUGGUGUAGCGGUGAAAUGCGUAGAUAUCAGGAGGAACACCUGUGGUGUAGACGGCUCUCUGGACAGUAACUGACGCUGAGACACGAAAGCGUGGGUAGCAAACAGG
Molecule: ribosomal RNA, 253 nt
Filed under: uncultured bacterium
Lineage: Bacteria
Description: partial 16S ribosomal RNA
Rfam family: Bacterial small subunit ribosomal RNA
Source: RNAcentral